CCGGCAGUGGUGGCUCUGGACGAGCAUUCACCUGGUGUUUGUUAGAGAUGCCGCUUCGCUGGCCCCACCCCAGAUGCCGCACCAGGAGCUCAGAAAGAAGCCAAAUAAAGCCAUGAGCCUGAUCAGUGACACAGACGACAGGGGACUCUGGAAGACUCAGGGUCCCGGGCCUGUCAGCGUGUGGGCUCAUCCCAGAAUGUCCGCGACCCCUGCCGGCUGCAGGCCUAGGUGGAGGUGCCUGUCCCUCUCUCCAGAACUGCGCAGAUGAACUUCCAAAAGCACUCUGGUCAUAUUGCUGACUAGGUUUGAGAUCUGCAGUUCCUGACGGCCUCAGAAUCAUCCAGCUUGAAAUCAAUUGUUGCAAAAUGCUCCAUUUAUAGUCGACUGUCCAGUUAGCAUUCGAUCAAUAGUGAGAACUUCUCUUUCUUCCUCCUGCAUUCCUCACACUCCCAGCCGGGUCUUCUGGACUGAGAUAACACCUGCUCUUAGCAGAGUGUCAUCAAGCGGGUUCUAUUACGUCCCGACACGUUCGCUCUGCGUGUCUGUGAAGCUCUGGGCUCGCCUGUAGGACUCGUUCCCGUCCACACGGACUAUGAAUAGCCUGCCUUUCGCGUUAUGUUUGUCCCUUACUGCCCUGAGUACCCUCCCAUUCCCGACUGGCAGGCUGGGACCAGCCACGCAAGAGGGCUGCCUGCUGUUGAGGCUCAGCGCAGUGGAGUCGGCCGACAUCAGAGCAGUCGGGGCUCCCUAAGAGAAGACUGGUGCUUCCUGGGCUCUCACCACACGGCCUUGGACGGCACAGCCGCGGCUUUCUCCGGCAGGGCUGAAGCAGGCGAGGGCGUGAGCCACCUUGCUGAGGUGGAAGUGCUGAGAUUCCGGCCAGGUUAUCAGGAAAGUCAUGGGAUCUUCCUAUGCACAAAUGCGUCAGGACUCCCCGACACCCACUGUGUGAUUUAAGACUGCCUGCAUUGCUAUUGAAAUGAGGGAAGCAAAAGAAGAACAGAACUGAAGGAGGGAGGGGGCCGUUGGCAGGAACGUGAGGCGGAGGGAGAGAUCGGGAGAGGAAGAAAGGCAGGUGGACCUGAGCGUGGGGCAGAGACGGCGCAGCCCUGGCGAGCGGGCACACGCCCGCCGUUGGCGUCCCUUGGCAAGAGCAACUGUCCUGUAAGGAGUGACACUGUGUCCCGCGUGGUCUCCUCCGGCCCUCCCAGCGCAGCGGCGCCCCCUCGUCUGUGAGGAGCCCUGUAGACCGCGCGUCCUAGUCUGACUCGAUCGGAGGAUAGUCCAAACCCUCCCUGAACGGUCUCUAAAGGCUGGCAUUGUGGCUUGUGAAUCUUGUGCUCAGCGGUGUGAAACACCGGAGUUCAUAGCAGGUAGUGGGUCGUCCAUACGUGCUCCUUUGAAAGAUCCCGUCUUUGACAAACACGCACUGUUUCCUGCGCUUUUCGUAACACCCUCAAAUACACAUGUCCACUGUCAUAGCGACCCUGCGAGGUGGGACUGUCAUCACCCUCCCCACAGAAGGCACAACCAGUGCCUCCCCCGGGAGGUCGCAGCCUCAUCAGCGGGGGCUUGGCUCUCGUCCUCUGACCCCCGUGCUGUCCUCAUCCGUGUAUAACUCAGCACUUCCCUGGGCGUCCCCGCUUGUGAGCCAAGCAGGGUGUCACUAUCUACUAUGGACCAUCAGUCACCCAACCGAAUCGAACCCCGCGUUCAAAGCCCUGCCUGGCUGGACGCGCUGUCACCGAGCAGGUGGUCUUGGCUA
Long non-coding RNA from Tupaia belangeri chinensis (Chinese tree shrew), 1765 nucleotides. RefSeq lists it as uncharacterized. The record is from RefSeq and is a predicted model, not a curated record. NCBI's taxonomy places the organism in Eukaryota, Metazoa, Chordata, Mammalia, Scandentia, Tupaiidae. The transcript has 4 exons.